AACGCACAUUGCGCUUUCUGGUAUUCCGGAGAGCAUGCCCGUUUCAGAAUCAUUAAAAACAUCACAUGGUGAGAAUGUUGCUUCGGCAAUGCUCUUAACUGUGCGGAUUUGGGUGUUUUGCAAUAAUUAGCAAUCAUCUGUAAAUAAUUGUAUGUGGUGCUAUUGCUGCUUGCUGUAUUUGACAUGCAACAGGAUAUUCGGGGGAAUCUUCUAUUUCGUGUCGAAUAUUUAUGCUGGCGCUUAGUUGAACAUACUUGAAAAUUGAACAGCAGUCAUGUUGAAACAUGGUUGCUGAUGACUUGGUCUGAAAUCGGGCAAGAAAACCCGCUGAACUUAA
RNAcentral lists this unclassified non-coding RNA (337 nucleotides) under uncultured soil eukaryote. Its description in RNAcentral is "sequence contains 5.8S rRNA gene, ITS2, 28S rRNA gene". The record is from RNAcentral.